AUACUUUUUCGUUCCCUUCGCUGGUGAGGCUAUCCCAUAACUCCUUGCGAUGCAGCGAAAAUUCCUAAAGCUAAUGGCGGACUUUAUUCCAGAGGAAUAACUUUGUAAAAUGGACAGAUGGCAACUGAUGUGUUAAUUUCACUCCAUGGCAUUGGCUUGGCAGGACAAAACAGUCGUGCCCGACUUGUUUGGAGGUGGAAGCACAUCCCACCCCAUCACCAAAAACAUGGGAACCUCCUGUCCACUAGGAAAAUCACCCUAUCCCAGGAGUUUAGUCAGUUUAUUCAGCAGUGUGCAACAUCACUAUGUUAGAAGUAGAUCCACAUAUGUUAUUCUCUAUCAUGCCGAAUUGACAGCUCAUUGUAACAUAUGAAACUCAUUCUAAAAUAAAUAUAUUUUGGACUACCAAGAAA
This is a long non-coding RNA of Coregonus clupeaformis (lake whitefish), 413 nucleotides long. RefSeq lists it as uncharacterized. The record is from RefSeq and is a predicted model, not a curated record. NCBI's taxonomy places the organism in Eukaryota, Metazoa, Chordata, Actinopteri, Salmoniformes, Salmonidae. The transcript has 3 exons.